Molecule: long non-coding RNA, 2630 nt
Filed under: Vulpes vulpes (red fox)
Lineage: Eukaryota; Metazoa; Chordata; Mammalia; Carnivora; Canidae
Description: lncRNA (ENSVVUG00000000204.1)
Source: RNAcentral
AUGGUGGAAGGAGAGCAGUGGGGGUUGGCACGGUUUCUUUUGGCAGGAGAUGAGAAAUGCAGACUCCUGGGCACUCUACAUGUACCCUUCCACAUCAUUUGGCUUUCCUUCACCCUACCCUGGCAUCUGCUUUCUAGCCUUUGGAAAAGUACACAUGUGGAAAGCACCAUCAACCAAUUCUCUUUUGUAGUUCUUCACAUUUCCAGGACUUCAAGAAACCUUGAACCACCAUCUCCUUCUCUCAGGAAAAAUCACCUCCGAGAACAACAUAAAUCAGCUGUUAAUUUUCAACAGAUUCCGAACCAGGAUUUGGAAAGGGACUUUGAAGAAACAAAUGCAUGUUGGGGAGAACCUUACCAGUGGGACACAGGAGAGGAAUAACUUUAGUUGCAGGCUCUAUGGCAGAGGUUCUCAAAAUGUUGCCCCUGAGCUUGCAGCAUCAGCAUCACCUGGGAGAUAGGUAAGUGGUUGGACCCCACCCCAGACCCACUGAGUCAGAAUCCUGGGAGGGGGCCAGCAAUGAGCUUUUAUGAGCACUUGAGAUGGUUCUGGGUUUGAGAACCAGACGUUUGAGAACCAUUGCUCUAAUGUUUUUCUUGAGAAUUAAAUUCUCUCUAUGGUCUGGGAUGUACUUGGAAUGACAUCAUAUAAAACUGACCAUGCUAUCAUCUACAUUUACUAAAGUAGAGAUAUCAUCAUGGUACAGGGUGAUAUGGCCACUAAUCCUUUAACACUGACAAAAUAGUUUUUGUUGGGAACUACUCAAAAAGCCAGCAAUCUUAGUUGAGGUCUUAGAAUACCAAAAGCUAGUUAUUGAAAAUAUACCAGCGCUGAAUAAGCAAUGAUGUUAGCAUGGAUUUGCUGACUGCCAGGUACUAAGAAACAUUGAUAAACUUAUACUUUGUAUAAGGCUUAUAAUAUUUUAGACAAUUGUCAUGACUAUCUCCUCUUUCUUUUUAAUCCCUAGUUCUUUAUUUCACCUUAAAAAAAUAGAAACAUCAUACAACCACAAGAAUGAACUGACUAUAAUUACAUGCAACAACAUGGGUAGAUCUUACACAUAAUGUUGACCUAAAAAGGCUGGACACAAGAGUAAGUAAAGCAUGACUUCACCUACGUAAAGCUUAAAAACAAGGGGAAAAAUUUAUUAGUGUUAGAAAUCUGAUAGUGGCUGGGGAGUGGAAAGAGGCUCCAAGGAAGCUUCUGGAGUGCUAACAACAUUCUGUUUCUUGAUCUGGGUGCUAGAGUGGGAUUACCAUAUGAAAAAUCGCUGAUUUUGUAUCUCUGUACUUUGAUACAAAGUUUAAAAAUGUUAAGAAUAGGAUGAAUGGGAUGCUAGAAUUUUAAGAAGUUAAAAUGUCUUCCCUUCUGCAUUCAAAGCCACGUUGGAUGUUGAGGUGGUAUUCUCAGUACAUGUUGGGGAAGUCAGUGGCCCAUCAUCCACUGCAGUGAACAAAGAGUCCUUGGACUCAAAAUCUCCAAAAGAGGACACAGGGAUGAUCAGGUGCCAGUGAUGCUGUGCAGUUCAUUCCAGCCUCAGUGUGCACUAAGUCAGGACAAGACAAAUCCAGAGGAGAUGAGGCACUCAACAGUGCCCUACACAAGCACCUAGUGGUCUCCGCCUGCAAGCAUGUUUGUUCCCCUGGUCCACCUGGGUCACACCCCCAUCCAGUUGCUGCCAUCAUUUCCAGUUGUGGUUCAGCUCUUGAUUUAGUGCUUCCUUGGCUCUGUCUCCCACAUUCUCCCCAUUCCCCUACUCUCCCUUCUUUUUCUCUUUCUUUCUCAUGAAACCUACCUGGUCUUCACUCUAUUAUCUCAGAAACUUUGAUAUUAGCCAGUUCAUGACACUGCUAGUCCUCAAGCCCCGGUUGCAUGUUAGUGUCCCUUGGAAGUGGUAUAAAAACACUGAUAUCUGGGCAACUGCUGACCAAUUACACAGGAAUCUAUGGAGAUGCCCCUACCAUGAGUACUUUUAUGAGCUCCCUGAGUGAUACUAAAAGGCAGCUUGGAAUUGAGAAGUUCUACUCUGGUUUCCAGAGGUGAUAGAUGUUGCUUACGCAGCACUCCUCUCUACGGCUGGAUCUUGGUCCCUAUGGCCAUACCUGCGUUUCCAUGCAGCCUGCAGAGCUAUCACAAAGGAGUGACUAAUUCUAUAUAUUGUACUCCGGCUCUGCGGAGCAGCAGGUUCCCUGGGCUGGGUUGGAGUUGCACAAAACUGGCCAUGGUCACAGACUUCCCCAGACACAACCUGGGGCCUGCUCCUGGGGACUUGGUUCAGAGCGCAGCAACUCCACCACAGAUGUCCCCACUUACCAUAAAGAAUGCCUGCCAAAAACAAUACUUUAAAAAAAAAACAAGGUUUUAAGACAUCUACUAAAGAGCUAAUGGUGUGGUCAUUGUCCUAAUGGGCUUUUAAUGAUGUAUAAAGUUCUUGGCUGAUAGUCAACGCGAUGGAAAGUUUUAUAGAAGUUAUUUUGUGAGCUUAAAAUCAUAUCCUCUCUUUGACUCAUGCUUCUUAUUUCUGUAAUCUCAAACUCAAGAGUCUUAAGUAUGAGGAAGAUGUCUACUAAAAUCCUUACUUCCUUUUUUAAAUUAUUUUUAAUAAUAAAUUUAUUUUUUAUUGGUGUUCA